RNAcentral lists this ribosomal RNA (403 nucleotides) under Verrucomicrobiota bacterium. Its description in RNAcentral is "Verrucomicrobia bacterium partial 16S ribosomal RNA". It matches the Rfam family "Bacterial small subunit ribosomal RNA", at positions 355 to 776 of the family's 1533-position model. Lineage: Bacteria; Pseudomonadati; Verrucomicrobiota. The record is from RNAcentral.
UGGGGAAUAUUGCACAAUGGGGGAAACCCUGAUGCAGCGACGCCGCGUGAGCGAAGAAGGUUUUCGAAUCGUAAAGCUCUGUCCUAUGAGAAGAUAAUGACGGUAUCAUAGGAGGAAGCCCCGGCUAAAUACGUGCCAUCAGCCGCGGUAAUACGUAUGGGGCGAGCGUUGUCCGGAAUUAUUGGGCGUAAAGGGUACGUAGGCGGUCUAUUAAGUCAGGUGUGAAAGCGUGAGGCUUAACCUCAUUAAGCACUUGAAACUGAUAGACUUGAGUGAAGUGGAGGAAAGUGGAAUUCCUAGUGUAGCGGUGAAAUGCGUAGAUAUUAGUGGGAAUACCGGUGGCGAAGGCGACUGGCUGGACUUAUACUGACGCUCAGGUACGAAAGCGUGGGGAGCAAACAGG